RNAcentral lists this transfer RNA (75 nucleotides) under Cryobacterium sp. Hz7. RNAcentral's name for it is "tRNA-Arg". It matches the Rfam family "tRNA". Rfam says of the family: Transfer RNA (tRNA) molecules are approximately 80 nucleotides in length. Their secondary structure includes four short double-helical elements and three loops (D, anti-codon, and T loops). Further hydrogen bonds mediate the characteristic L-shaped molecular structure. tRNAs have two regions of fundamental functional importance: the anti-codon, which is responsible for specific mRNA codon recognition, and the 3' end, to which the tRNAs corresponding amino acid is attached (by aminoacyl-tRNA synthetases). tRNAs cope with the degeneracy of the genetic code in two manners: having more than one tRNA (with a specific anti-codon) for a particular amino acid; and 'wobble' base-pairing, i.e. permitting non-standard base-pairing at the 3rd anti-codon position. RNAcentral also lists the same sequence under 11 other names. Lineage: Bacteria; Bacillati; Actinomycetota; Actinomycetes; Micrococcales; Microbacteriaceae. The record is from RNAcentral.
GCCCCCAUAGCUCAGGGGAUAGAGCACUGCCCUCCGGAGGCAGGGGCGGCAGUUCGAAUCUGCCUGGGGGCACAA